Small nuclear RNA from Anolis carolinensis (green anole), 185 nucleotides. Its record names the gene U2. It matches the Rfam family "U2 spliceosomal RNA". Rfam says of the family: U2 is a small nuclear RNA (snRNA) component of the spliceosome (involved in pre-mRNA splicing). Complementary binding between U2 snRNA (in an area lying towards the 5' end but 3' to hairpin I) and the branchpoint sequence (BPS) of the intron results the bulging out of an unpaired adenosine, on the BPS, which initiates a nucleophilic attack at the intronic 5' splice site, thus starting the first of two transesterification reactions that mediate splicing. NCBI's taxonomy places the organism in Eukaryota, Metazoa, Chordata, Lepidosauria, Squamata, Anolidae. The record is from Ensembl.
AUCGCUUCUAGCCCUUUUGGCUAAGAUCAAGUGUAGUAUCUGUUCUUAUCAGUUUAAUAUUCUGCGACUAUUGUGAUGCACAGAGCCAGUACAUAUUCUGAUAAGAUGUUUGAAAUGUUUUUGAAAGUUCAGACUAUUCAAAGGUUUGGUUUGGUUUUGGACUUCUUGUCAAAACACCAUCUAUA